GGUGGGCUCAGAGUCCAUGGAUGUGCUGACUGCAACAGUGCUCUCCCGAAACUGUCAUGGUCACGGGCCUGUUGGGUGAUGGCACAGUGGGACAUGAAGGUAUGAACGGACAACCAGGUUGUGGCUCUGUAGAUGUCCUGGAUUGGUACCUGUGCGAGGAACGCUUCUGCCAAAGCCUGGGCUCUUUUGGAAUGAGUGGUCACAAUGGCCAGAGGCGGAAGGUUUGCCUGCUCAUAGCAAGCUCAGAUACAAGUGGUUAUCCAGGACUAGAUUCUUUGGGUCGACAUGGGUACCCUCUCAUCCUUUCCACUAUUGCUACAAAGAGCUGCUCGGACUUGCGGAAGGUUUUAGUUCUCUCAAUAUAAAAAGUGAGGGCAUAUGAAGCUGACAUUCCUCAGAGGUUUUAUGAGGCUUUGGGAAGAAGGCAGUAGAAAGAUGGCCUGGUUGUUGUGGAAUUGUGGCACAAUCUUUAGUAGGAAGGCUGGAUGGGGGGGCACAGUUGGUACUGAAGUCUGGUGGUGCAUAGGCUAGGUAACAAUGAUGUGUCCUGGGUGGAGAAAAAGAUUCUCCUUUGGACUCUGAAGAGGAGUCUCUUGGAGAACAUGGUGGAACUGUACCCAUUUCUGCCUCCAUGCAGUGCUGGGGUUCCAGAGUCUGGUGAUGAGUCAGUGACCAUGAUGCCAGCAUCAUGGUAGGCUUACACCUAGAGGGAGGUGGGGAUGCCAGUGCUGGGAAGGAGCCCGAUGCUCCCUGUUCCCUUCUGCUUCCAGUUGCCUUGGCUGGUGGGUGCCCCCUUGCAGUAGUCAGGAACAGGAGAGAGAAGAGGUCCUUUGCUGCUUGGAAAGCCUCUGGUAUCGAGAGGACUGUCAGACCGCUGGCACUGCGGCAGCUUUUGGCGGUCAGCGGAGGGUUCCGCACUGGACUCAACACCCUAGGCAAUGGUGCCAUCUCUGUCUCAGGGAGGAAGAGUGGCCCAACGCAUGUCUCACUGUAAUGGCAUCUCCCUGGUUGUCCUUCCUCUGCACUGGUGAGUACCCUCUCUCAGUGCACUGCUUCCUGUGCUUCUUUCUCAGCGCUGGAGAUUGAGAAUGGUGCUAGGAAGAGCACGGUGCCAGGGGACCGCUUUGCACGGGAAUCAAAAUGCUUGGUGCUGAUUUGGAGCGGCUCAGCUCCGAUGCAGGUCUGAGGAUGGCCUUCAGCCGAAUGCCCCUGUCUUUUUAGGUCUGAAGUCCCUGCAAAUCUGGUAGUUGUCCUCUACAUGGGUUUUCCCCACACACUUAAAGCUUGCAGGUCACUCACUGGCAUAAGUUUACUGCAGAAGGCACAUGUCUUGAAACAUGGGAAUCAGACCAUGCCCAGCCCCUGGGGUGAAGAGUCCCUAGACAACAGGGGCUAAUUAUUCACACUACUAUAUAUACACUAACGCUAUGUAUAAGAACUAUGUACAUUAACUAAAAUAAAUAUGAACAGAGGAGAGUCCAAACAACUGGGGAAGAUGCCUUGCCACAGCAAGAAGGAUCGUUCCAGCAACCAUCACGGACGGUAAGAAGGAAUUGAGAGGGUGCCAGGCCAGAGGCACCCCCUUAUACCUGCACAUAUGUGUAUGAUUCCAGAAGGCAGAAGAGACAACCCCAAGAAAUACCACUAAGGGAAAAAUCUCUGGCAACAGUACAUGCAGCACGCACACACCUAGCAUGGAAUGGACAUGAGCAAACACUUGAAGAAGAACCUCGCCUCUGUGAUGGUUGGGAACCUUUUCUAUUUUCCAGAGUGAAUUUGUUCUUGGCCAAUUUGUACUAUUCGUUCUCAUGCUAACAUUGUCCUACAGGUUGCAUCCAGAGACUGCUAAUUUCCCCCAUUUACUUAGCCUGAGGUUUCAGGAGCAGGUGUAGCAAAGAAGUGUGGCCUCCCUCAGUGAUGAGAGCGAGGGAGAGCCACACCUACCUACAUGUUUAUACAUAAAGAACAUGGGUAAGGCCCACCAUCUGAUGGAAAGGGGGACUGCAUUCAUUGUUGACCCACCACCAGCAGAUGCAGCCCUGGAUCUCGACAAGCUGGUGAAAUGGUGGGCCGAGAGUCAACAACAGCAGCAAGCUGCCCAGCUCCAGCAGCAGCAGCAACUGCUACAAAUCCCGAGAGCCCAGCAGCAGCAGCUCAUAUGGAAGCAGGGGGCCCAGCAGCAGUAGCAGCAGGGGCAAUAUGCUCAGCAACUGGCCACUUUACUGCCCAGCCGCUCCAGUCCCACCACUGGAGGCCCGGUAGUGCUAGCGACCCCUUCGAUGCCACUCUGCCUCACAAAAGUAGGAUCUGAGGACGAUCCAGAAUCGUUCUUAGUUAUGUUUGAGCAUGUCGCCUUGGCCGAAGGCUGGGAUCCGACUCAGUGGUCCACCCUGCUGGUCCCCUAUCUAACGGGGGUGUCCCAUGCCAUGUAUUGCGCCCUCUCUGACGAGGAGACACGUGAUUAUCAGGCUGUAAAGGCAGCAGUCCUAGACACAUUGGACAUUACCCCCAAAACCUUCCAAUGCUGGUUUCGAGGAAAAACCUACCCAUCAGGGGCUCGAAUACGAAUUGCGGCCCAGGAACUGAGAGACGCAUGCUGGUGGUGUCUGCAACUGGAGUGACGCUCUGCCACAGCGGUAACUGAACAGAACGUUACAGAGCAGUUCCUACAUAUCCUUCCCUCUCGUGGGAGGACAUGGGUAAUGCGGCAUCACCUCACCACCUUGAGUGCAACGGUACGCCUGAUGGAAGAUUUCCUGGCCACGGAGAGUGCAACCCAGGGCUGCCUUCCCCCACAGAUGCGUUGUUGUGGUUGGGGGAAGAGGACCUGACCAGCCCCGGAGACCAGGAGCUGGGUUUGGGGGGGGAGGGAGUGUAUAGCAAAGGGGCGUGGCCUCCCUCAGAGACUGACAGCGAGGUACAGCCAGAUGCCCCCUGGUGGGUGGAACCCAGAAGGCCUAGGCCACCAUGCCAGAAGCAGAACAGGAAGUAUAAGAGGCGGGCUGUGCAGCUGAAUUGAGGAGGAACCGCCGAGGGAGACAGAUGCUUCCAGCCUGCUGCUGGAGCUGGAACCCACAGAAGACUUCGGCUGUCUCAAGGAGCCUGCCCAGGUACCAGGACUGCCUGACAUGCCCAACACUGAAGAGUUGCUGGGACUGCCACUUGCAGUGUACCCCAGGGAAACAGAGGGUGAUCCUUGGAUGCAGGUACACCCAAAGGGGAGUAUAGGAAGCAGCCCAGGGGAACCAGACUACCAUCAGUCUGUGGAGCUGCCGGAGACAUGGUCAGCGUGUUAUGGGUGGAUUCUCCACUGACCCAGUGGCAGACCACUCUGCCGCUGUUAGGGCCCUGGGCUGGGACAUGGUGGAGUUGGGUGGGCCCACGUCCUCCCUGUCACCCCACCCCUGGGGUGGCAGUACUCCCCCUCCUUAGGCUAGGAGGCCGGCGCUCCGCAGAGUGCCAUAGACUGUAGUUGGUGCUCAUCCCUUGCCUGAUCCCCAUAGAGUGUGUUGGGUGCUCAACCCCCUGCCGGCGCCCUAGACUGCUUGCUGGAUGCUCACCCCCCUACUGGGGCCAUAGACUGCUUGCUGGGGCCCCCACCCUGGCUGAGGGCCUGGGCCCCCUGAACCACUCGCAGCUACUCUGCCUAAGGGUUAAGCCUUCGACUGUGUGGGUGCCCCGCCCUGGUGGAGGGCCUUGGCCCCUGAACUAUUCACUGCCCUACCCUGCCUACAGGUGUGGGGGAGGGGGGCGGAGACUGCUAAUUUCCCCAUUUACUUAGCUUGUUGUUUCAGAAGUGGGUGUAGCAAAGGGGCGUGGCCUCCCUAAAAGAAGACAGUGAGGGAGAGCCACACUCAUCUACACGUUUACAGUUGGUAUACUGCUUUUUUUCAUCACAGACUGAAAAUCUCUUGUUUUACAGGAGGGAAAUUGGUGCUCAUUCACAGAACAAUGCAACAAAUUGUUAAAUGGAGGAUUGCAACAAUCUGCUUCAAAUCUAUCGCAUAAAUGAAGGGAAGUACAUGUGAAAUCUGUGAACAACCUACAUCCUUCAAAAGAGGCUAGCACAAAAAUUGGUUUAAAAAACCCCUUUAAACCCUCUGAAGCUCAAAGAUGAUCAGCUUUAACCAGACUUAAUUGUGAGGUGUAUUGCAUGGAAGAGCCUCAGUCCAUAGAGAGAGCGUGGGGAAGAGAUGGCAAAAUCAUAACAAACUAUAAGAACCAUGAAUCCUGGAUUUAUGCUAAUAUGGAGGUAAGGUAGAAAAAAUUUCUUGUGUGCUUUGUGAGGUACUUCCCUUUCCAGAAGACAAGCUACAGUCUGCCUGCACCCCCUCCAGUCCGGCUCACCGGUUUGUGAUAUUCCCUGGUCUUUGAUGGCCAUCCCUACAUGAAGUGGGUGCCAGUAGCAAUGUGCAAAUAGGACUACAGACAGAGAAUGAAUGAUGGCUGUAUAUGCAUGUGGUCUUGUGUCCCUCGCAGAACAGGGCUGAAGCCCAGUUUUGUUGUUCUGCCUUGGGUUACACAUGAAGAUAGUUAAUGCACCCAGGAAAUCUAUGUGUAGGCCAGCAACCUGUUUAGUGGACAUAAUUAAAUUGCACUUUUCAAGACCUGGUUUGUGAUGAUCCCAGGCUGCUUGAUAACAGGAUCCUUUCUUCCUGCUCAAAGGGUAUAACAUCAGUGGUACCAACCAGUUAUGACAGAUACCUUUUCCAUGACCAGCUUUCAGGUUUAACCUGCCAUUCUCCACUUCUUUCUCACUAUUGUAGGAAUGGGAAGCUACUUGGGUAACUGCUAUAACUAUCACAAUAUCCUCAUGCUAGACUGAUACCACCUAUCAGGACCCCACUUAUGGAAAAUAAAUUAUAUAAACAUAGCCACAGAUAACACAUACAAUUUAAAAGGGCAAGAAUAGACAUUCAUGCUGGCUUUUGCUAUACUGUGCAUCUGUCCAUUCAGACCUACUCAAAUUUGGCCAAUGGAUAAAUAGCAAUAUAUUUUUCACCAUUGCCCUAAAAUAUAUAUGUUUGGAAUUUUUUUUCAAACUUUUGUUCAAACAUUUCCUUCAUGUUGAGAAAGGGAAAUGAUUAUUACUUGUUCUAUUGCAGUAUCACCCAAAGGACUUAAUGAAAAUGAGGUCCCCAUUGAGAUAGGUGCUGUACUAACAGAAUAAAAAGAUAGCUCCUGCCCCACAAAUCUUCUUUUACUAUUAUAGAUUCCGUUUCUCAGUGAGCUGAAUGUCCAGCAAAGAAGCAGAACGAAGAGUGGGAAUCAAGAUGGGACUAUUGUAAAUAAGUAGCUGUGAUCCACUGAAAAGAAUCAUGAGGUACCCAGUCUUCGCUACUGGCAGAAAGGAGGGACUUCCCUUAGGAUGAGAUUUCAUUUGCUGGAUUCAGUAGGUUGGCUGAGUGAGCCCAUUGUUAACACCCAUACUGCAGGGACAAGGGUCUUAUCAGUUGUGAGCAGGCACCAAGCCAUCCUGACAGAUGGCUCUAGCUAUGGGCAGACCAUAUGUGUUGUAUCCAAUAUGUUUGUUGAAGUAAUUAUUCCCACUUAGGACAAUUCUGCCUGCCUUGACUUUCUUCACCUUUGGCAUUACUAAUUAAAUUCCAUUAAUUUUAAAACCUACAAAUUACUGUGUUUUCUUCAUCCACCUUAAUAUUUUUCCCACCACAUAAAUCUGAUGUAUAACUGACUGACAAUAGUAUCAUCACCUCCUCCUCCAUUGGGAGGAAUCUUGUGGAACGAGGUGUGAAAUAACAACAAACCAACGGCAAAAAAAAAAAAAAAGACAAAAACC
This is a long non-coding RNA of Trachemys scripta elegans, 5797 nucleotides long. RefSeq lists it as uncharacterized. The transcript has 2 exons. The record is from RefSeq and is a predicted model, not a curated record. Lineage: Eukaryota; Metazoa; Chordata; Testudines; Emydidae.